This is a non-coding RNA of Mycena epipterygia, 93 nucleotides long. NCBI's taxonomy places the organism in Eukaryota, Fungi, Basidiomycota, Agaricomycetes, Agaricales, Mycenaceae. The record is from the annotation of a GenBank genome assembly.
GACCUGGUGGUGUAGUGGUAAACACGCCUGCUGGUUUUAGUAUAUCUCGAGAUUAAUGUGCAGGAGAUCUGCGUUCGAUCCGCGGUCAGGUCG